AUACGGAGGAUCCGAGCGUUAUCCGGAUUUAUUGGGUUUAAAGGGAGCGUAGGCGGACGCUUAAGUCAGUUGUGAAAGUUUGCGGCUCAACCGUAAAAUUGCAGUUGAUACUGCGUGUCUUGAGUACAGUAGAGGCAGGCGGAAUUCGUGGUGUAGCGGUGAAAUGCUUAGAUAUCACGAAGAACUCCGAUUGCGAAGGCAGCCUGCUGGACUGUAACUGACGCUGAUGCUCGAAAGUGUGGGUAUCAAACAGGAUUAGAUACCCUGGUAGUCCACACAGUAAACGAUGAAUACUCGCUGUUUGCGAUAUACAGUAAGCGGCCAAGCGAAAGCGUUAAGUAUUCCCCCUGGGGAGUACGCCGGCAACGGUGAAACUCAAAUGAAUUGACGGGG
Molecule: ribosomal RNA, 393 nt
Filed under: uncultured bacterium
Lineage: Bacteria
Description: partial 16S ribosomal RNA
Rfam family: Bacterial small subunit ribosomal RNA
Source: RNAcentral